ACCUGACUGCUAUCGGAUUGGUACUAAGCCAUGUGAGUCAUUGUAGCAAUACAAGGCAUACGGCUCAGUAACACGUAGUCAAUCUGCCCUAUGGACGUGGAUAACCUCGGGAAACUGAGAAUAAUCCGCGAUAGAUCAUAAUGCCUGGAACGGUUUAUGGUCCAAAUGAUUCGUCGCCAUAGGAUGGGACUGCGGCCUAUCAGCUUGUUGGUGAGGUAAUGGCCCACCAAGGCUAUUACAGGUACGGGCUCUGAGAGGAGAAGCCCGGAGAUGGGUACUGAGACACGGACCCAGGCCCUAUGGGGCGCAGCAGGCGAGAAACCUUUGCAAUGUGCGCAAGCACGACAAGGUUAAUCCGAGUGUUUCCUGCUAAAGGAAUCUUUUGUUAGUUCUAAAACCACUGAUGAAUAAGGGGUGGGCAAGUUCUGGUGUCAGCCGCCGCGGUAAAACCAGCACCUCAAGUGGUCAGGAGGAUUAUUGGGCCUAAAGCAUCCGUAGCCGGUUCUGUAAGUUUCCGGUUAAAUCCACUAGCUCAACUAAUGGGCUGCCGGAAAUACUGCAGAACUAGGGAGUGGGAGAGGUAGACGGUACUCGGGAGGAAGGGGUAAAAUCCUUUGAUCUCUUGAUGACCACCUGUGGCGAAGGCGGUCUACCAGAACACGUUCGACGGUGAGGGAUGAAAGCUGGGGGAGCAAACCGGAUUAGAUACCCGGGUAGUCCCAGCUGUAAACGAUGCAGACUCGGUGAUGCACUGGCUUUUGGCCAGUGCAGUGCCGCAGGGAAGCCGUUAAGUUUGCCGCCUGGGAAGUACGUACGCAAGUAUGAAACUUAAAGGAAUUGGCGGGGGAGCACCACAAGGGGUGANCCUGCGGUUCAUUGGAUUCACGCCGGAA
Molecule: ribosomal RNA, 893 nt
Filed under: uncultured archaeon
Lineage: Archaea
Description: bacterial SSU rRNA
Rfam family: Archaeal small subunit ribosomal RNA
Source: RNAcentral